Molecule: ribosomal RNA, 486 nt
Filed under: uncultured bacterium
Lineage: Bacteria
Description: partial 16S ribosomal RNA
Rfam family: Bacterial small subunit ribosomal RNA
Source: RNAcentral
GACGAACGCUGGCGGCGUGCUUAACACAUGCAAGUCGAACGCUGAAGACCUGGCUUUUGUUGGGUUGGAUGAGUGGCGAACGGGUGAGUAACACGUAAGUAACCUGCCCUCUUCUUUGGGAUAACGCCCGGAAACGGGUGCUAAUACUGGAUAUUCACUGAUCUUCGCAUGGGGGUUGGUGGAAAGGUUUGUUCUGGUGGGGGAUGGGCUCGCGGCCUAUCAGCUUGUUGGUGGGGUGAUGGCCUACCAAGGCUUUGACGGGUAGCCGGCCUGAGAGGGUGACCGGUCACAUUGGGACUGAGAUACGGCCCAGACUCCUACGGGAGGCAGCAGUGGGGAAUAUUGCACAAUGGGCGAAAGCCUGAUGCAGCGACGCCGCGUGAGGGAUGGAGGCCUUCGGGUUGUAAACCUCUUUCGCUCAUGGUCAAGCCGCAACUGUGGGUUGUGGUGAGGGUAGUGGGUAAAGAAGCGCCGGCUAACUACGUG